This 58-nucleotide transfer RNA is filed under the name SAR86 cluster bacterium BACL1 MAG-121001-bin56. Its description in RNAcentral is "tRNA-Ala". It matches the Rfam family "tRNA", at positions 8 to 63 of the family's 71-position model. Rfam says of the family: Transfer RNA (tRNA) molecules are approximately 80 nucleotides in length. Their secondary structure includes four short double-helical elements and three loops (D, anti-codon, and T loops). Lineage: Bacteria; Pseudomonadati; Pseudomonadota; Gammaproteobacteria. The record is from RNAcentral.
UAGCUCAGCUGGGAGAGCACCUGCUUUGCAAGCAGGGGGUCCGCGGUUCGAUCCCGCG